GACGAACGCUGGCGGCGUGCCUAAUACGUGCAAGUCGAACGCACUCUCGUUUAGAUUGAAGGAGCUUGCUCCUGAUUGAUAAACAUUUGAGUGAGUGGCGGACGGGUGAGUAACACGUGGGUAACCUGCCCUAAAGUGGGGGAUAACAUUUGGAAACAGAUGCUAAUACCGCAUAAAACCUAACACCGCAUGGUGUAGGGUUGAAAGAUGGUUUCGGCUAUCACUUUAGGAUGGACCCGCGGUGCAUUAGUUAGUUGGUGAGGUAAAGGCUCACCAAGACCGUGAUGCAUAGCCGACCUGAGAGGGUAAUCGGCCACACUGGGACUGAGACACGGCCCAGACUCCUACGGGAGGCAGCAGUAGGGAAUCUUCCACAAUGGACGAAAGUCUGAUGGAGCAACGCCGCGUGAGUGAAGAAGGUUUUCGGAUCGUAAAACUCUGUUGUUGGAGAAGAAUGUAUCUGAUAGUAACUGACCAGGUAGUGACGGUAUCCAACCAGAAAGCCACGGCUAACUACGUGCCAGCAGCCGCGGUAAUACGUAGGUGGCAAGCGUUGUCCGGAUUUAUUGGGCGUAAAGCGAGCGCAGGCGGUUUCUUAAGUCUGAUGUGAAAGCCUUCGGCUCAACCGAAGAAGUGCAUCGGAAACUGGGAAACUUGAGUGCAGAAGAGGACAGUGGAACUCCAUGUGUAGCGGUGAAAUGC
Molecule: ribosomal RNA, 702 nt
Filed under: uncultured Lactobacillus sp.
Lineage: Bacteria; Bacillati; Bacillota; Bacilli; Lactobacillales; Lactobacillaceae
Description: bacterial SSU rRNA
Rfam family: Bacterial small subunit ribosomal RNA
Source: RNAcentral